GACGAACGCUGGCGGCGUGCCUAAUACAUGCAAGUCGAACGAGAGCGACCGGUGCUUGCACUGGUCAAUCUAGUGGCGAACGGGUGAGUAACACGUGGGUAACCUGCCCAUCAGAGGGGGAUAACAUCCGGAAACGGAUGCUAAAACCGCAUAGGUCUUCGAGCCGCAUGGCUUGAAGAGGAAAAGAGGCGCAAGCUUCUGCUGAUGGAUGGACCCGCGGUGCAUUAGCUAGUUGGUGAGGUAACGGCUCACCAAGGCCGUGAUGCAUAGCCGACCUGAGAGGGUGAUCGGCCACAUUGGGACUGAGACACGGCCCAAACUCCUACGGGAGGCAGCAGUAGGGAAUCUUCCGAAAUGGACGCAAGUCUGACGGAGCAACGCCGCGUGAGUGAAGAAGGUUUUCGGAUCGUAAAACUCUGUUGUUAGAGAAGAACAAGUGCUAGAGUAACUGUUAGCGCCUUGACGGUAUCUAACCAGAAAGCCACGGCUAACUACGUG
RNAcentral lists this ribosomal RNA (498 nucleotides) under uncultured bacterium. RNAcentral's name for it is "partial 16S ribosomal RNA". It matches the Rfam family "Bacterial small subunit ribosomal RNA", at positions 28 to 507 of the family's 1533-position model. The record is from RNAcentral.